This 1395-nucleotide long non-coding RNA is filed under the name Mus musculus (house mouse). RNAcentral describes it as "predicted gene, 34016 (Gm34016)". Lineage: Eukaryota; Metazoa; Chordata; Mammalia; Rodentia; Muridae. The record is from RNAcentral.
AGAUCAUCUCAUUCAGACUUACCCUCAGGAAGCAAACGCCUCUUUGGCAAAAAUAAAAUGUGCGUUUUCUGACCCCUGGAACUCGGGUUAAUGUCUGUUAAUAUUUGUCGCCGAUGCUAUAUUUCUUCCUUUCUUUGGGAAAGGAAAAGCUGUUGCUAAAUGAAGUCAGCAGCGGAUCUUAUCGAGGAUAUGGUAGAAGAGAAGAAACGGCGCUGCAUCUAGGAACAAAGCUGUUCAGAAUAAGCAUUUACCAACAAGCCCGUGACUUAUGUAAGCAGAGGCCAGCACACACGUCGUGAGAAAUCUGCUCCCUCACUCAGAUGUCAUGAUAGCCUUCCCUUUGACUUUACCCUAAAUGUUUCUCAAAGCCGCAGAGAAGGUUCUGACAGGAUGGCCUUUCACAGAAUUACUGGAGAACCUCAGAUCUGCUACCUGGGAAACCAACCAAUCAGUCCAAGUCUGAUAAAUAACGCAUCGCUGUUACAGAAUAAAAAUACAGCAAAAAUAUAAAGAAAGUCAUGUAACAUCUGGAGAGAAAGCCAAAAGAAGCUUUAUUGAGUGGUGAUGCAAAACUGUAAUCCUAGCAAGUGGAAGGCUGGAGCAGGAAGGGCACGGGUUCAAGGACAGCCUGAGCUAGAGUGAGUCCCUGGUUGGUCUACACAGAGUCUCUCAGAAAAAAUAAAAGAAGAAAGGAAGCAGGUAAGAAGCACAAAACAGCAAAAACAAACAAACAAACAAAACCAAAAACAACCCAGCAAAUAGUGUUCUAUACUGCAUCAAAGGACAAAGCACAGUAUAUUAAUGUGUACAAUAUACAAGAAAAAAGACGUCAAUCUAAAAUUUUUAUACCCAUGUCAAAAAUCUAUGUGAAACCUGGCCUGAUGAUUCAUGCCUUUAAUCAAUCCCAGCGCUUGGGAAGAAGAGGCAGGUGGAUCUCUGUGAGUUCGAAGUGAAAAAGUAUAACGUAAAAACAAAAUUCUAGGCCUUUAGGCCCAGGCUUGAAAAUGUGACCUUUGUGACUCAAUGCUCCAAGGCAUGCUAAUCAUAAAACAGAUAGCGACAUUCCUCCACCCACCCGCUUCCUAGGUUCAGGGAGUGUUCGUUCAAAGAAAGUCACCCUGACCCACCCUGACCGUUGCUGGAACCCGGUAUGCAAAGGUGCUAUUGUUAGAGACUCCUAGAAAACUGUCUUGACUUUCCACUUCCUCGUGACUCUUAACUGGAGUUUUUGGUAUUUUCCAACAACGCCCUCCCCACCCACUUGAGUUGUGGUUUCUUCCUUUAAAUAUCUCCUCUCCCAGCUACUCGGGGCGCCAUGGUCCUCUACCCCUGUGUGGUGUAUGACUGUGGGCCCGAGAGCACUCUUGAAAUAAAAGUCCUCUUGCAGUUUGCAGC